ACUGCGGUGGUGUAAUGGUUAGCAUUUCUGCCUAGCAAGCAAGAAGGUCAGGGUUCGAGUCCCCGCCGCAGUA
Molecule: non-coding RNA, 73 nt
Organism: Schistocerca piceifrons (Central American locust)
Lineage: Eukaryota; Metazoa; Arthropoda; Insecta; Orthoptera; Acrididae
Source: the annotation of a RefSeq genome assembly